Molecule: ribosomal RNA, 774 nt
Filed under: uncultured Neocallimastigales
Lineage: Eukaryota; Fungi; Neocallimastigomycota; Neocallimastigomycetes; Neocallimastigales
Description: partial large subunit ribosomal RNA
Rfam family: Eukaryotic large subunit ribosomal RNA
Source: RNAcentral
AGAGAGAGACAUGCGCGCAUAUCAAUAAGCGGAGGAAAAGAAACUAACAAGGAUUCCCUUAGUAACGGCGAGUGAAGCGGGAAGAGCUCAAAUUUGAAAUCUUCAAGGUUUUACCUUGACGAAUUGUAGUUUAAAGAAGUGUUUUCUGCUGAAGUUUUGGUAAAAGUUCUUUGGAAUAGGACAUCAUAGAGGGUGAGAAUCCCGUAUUUGACCAUUAUUUUCAGCUUUGUGAUACACUUUCAAAGAGUCGGAUUGUUUGGGAAUGCAGUCCAAAAUGGGUGGUAAAUUUCAUCUAAAGCUAAAUAUUGGCGAGAGACCGAUAGCGAACAAGUACCGUGAGGGAAAGAUGAAAGGAACUUUGAAAAGAGAGUUAAACAGUACGUGAAAUUGUCAAAAGGGAAGCGUUUGACACCAGUGUUGUUUUCUCGAAAAUCAAUUAAAAAUGGCUCGAUUUUGUAUUGCUGAGACCUUAAAAGCUCACUGUACAUUUUUCGUGUCUUUUUUAAUGCACUUUUCGUUUAACAAGUCAACAUCAGUUUCUUUUGUUGUAAAAGGGUCAUUGGAAGGUGGCCUUCUUUUCGGAGAAAGUGUUUAUAGCCUUUGGCCUCUGCAAUCGGAGAGACUGAGGUCUGCAGCGUAGACUCUUCGGGGUUAGAUACAUUUGUGCUAAGUUAUAGCUUUUUAUAGACAACUUGUUGACUAUAAUUAGUCUUGUAGCUUACUCGCUUAUGCUAUUUUACCUACGCUUAGGAUGUUGAAGAUGUAGCACAUCAU